Molecule: long non-coding RNA, 2095 nt
Organism: Aedes aegypti (yellow fever mosquito)
Lineage: Eukaryota; Metazoa; Arthropoda; Insecta; Diptera; Culicidae
Exons: 2
Source: RefSeq, a predicted model, not a curated record
UUCACCGGUAGAACAUUUUAAAACUUUCCGAUUAUGAAAAUAUAGAUCAAAUACUGAUCUCUAGCGAGAAAAAACAUAGCGUGAGCCGUUGACGGGUCGGGGGGUCUUGAAAGCCAAGUUUGGGAAACGAUGAUUUAGAUCUUUGAGGAUGUAUUAAAGGAUACUCUAGAUAAUUUUCCGGAAUCUUUAUUUUAACAGUAAAUCUUUAUUUGAAACUCUGAAAAAUACACACUUAAACAGACACUCGGAGUUCGGUAAAAUAAUUUACCGGAAUAAAUCGGUGAACUAGAAAUUUACUGAUGAUUCGGUAUUUGAUAGCCUGAUUACCGACAUCCGUAAAUUAUAAGACGAACGGUCUGUGAAUUCUCACGAAUUUACCGAACACGGUGAAAUGUUUUACAGAUUAACCUGUAAAUCAGCCAUUUUACCGAAAUCCGUAAAACUAUUAGCUGAGUUUCGGUAAAUCGUGUCCACAUUACCGAAAUUGGUAACAUGUACAGCGAGAAACGUCAAUUCCGCCAUAUUAUGUUUUCGUUCAGCUCUCGUGUUUCGAUCGGAUGUUUUUGAGUGAUAAAACCGGGUGUUAGAGGCAAUUUUCUUUAAUAUCGUGAACAGAAUAUAUGCCAAAUAUAAGCAGCCACGCUAUACGAUGGGUGAUGACCACUUGCACUCGACAAACGCUGUCUCUGCACAUAAUUGCGUAUAGGGCAAAAUAAAUUCAAGCGCCCGGAUUCAUGUCCUGCUCAGCAAACGCUAUAUUUCUACAUGCAAUUUUACUGUAAAAUGUAACCUUGGUAUUAGCUGAAGCACGAGCAGAUGGAUGUAUUGGCCACUGGAUGAUGAUUUUGAGAUUACCAUAAGUAUCAACAAGAGCAAGAUUAGGCCGAACAAGUGAAUAAUAAAAUACAAAACAUGAUUGUUUAUCUUUUCUUGCGAAUAGGAAUCCACCGGUGAUUUUUUAUUUCCACAAUAAAAAUACAGCUUUUCUGUCAAAUCAAUUACAAACCACACUUUUUCAUUCGGUAAACGUUACCGAUCAGUCGGUAAAUUUGACAGUUGCAGCGCCAGUCCUAGCUUACAGACGUGUCGGUAAAUUUUUCGUUUACCGAAACGAUUACCGACUGUUCAGCUGUUGAGAUUUCGGUAAACGAAUCACCGAAGUCGGUAAUUUUUCCUUAGUGUGUAUUCUGCAGGGAUACCCUAGAAAACCCCCUAGUGGAAUCCUAGAAGAAAUCUAUUUAAACAUAAUUGGAAGAAUUACUGGAAUAAUUGGUGUAGCCUUUCCUGAUGAAAAGCUUUAAAUGAACUCGAGGAACCUUAACACAAAUCUUCUAGAGUAAUCCCUGGAUGAAAUGCAGGGAAAUUCCAGAAGAAAAGAACUUUAUAUAAAAUCCCUAAAAAAACGAAGUUGGAAUUCCUAAAGGUGACCUUCGCUGCUGAAAAGUUGGGUACACUCUGCUUGGAAUCUCUGGAAAACUGACCAUAAGGUUGUGCAAGGUAAAAUUGCAUAGCAUCAAGAUGGCUGGGAAUCAAUAAUCGACAGUCUGUCGUUGAUGCAUAACAGUAUGAAUCAACGAGUAGUACAAGUGUAGUGAUUUUUUUUGGAAACAAGAACUAGUAAGCUAACAAAUGAUUUCGGUAAAGACCUCGAAAAGACGAAGAGGCAGCUCAGCAUUGAAAAAAAUAUCAGAAAAAUAAUAUCGAUACAAGAAAAUUAAGAAGUUUUGGAUCGGGUAGGGACAAGUUUCUUGAAGUAGCGGAGUUACGUCAAACUUGUACAUAUGCAGAUAUAACUUUUUGCUCUAGCAUUGAAUAUACUCAUGGAACUAUGAUGACGUUUGCUUAUUGAGUUUUGAAUUUAGUGAUUAUUAGAUAAUUCAGCAUUUAUAUGAAUAAACGCCUGAGACUAUAUCAUUUCUUAACAAAUGUGGCCUACUUACUUCUUAUAUACAAAUUAUAAGUCAAUUGAGGCCCUUCAAAAUUAUCUCUUAACUUUUUUAAUGAUAAAAAUAGGCCACCCUAGUAUUUAUAUGUUAUUCAAACGUCGAAAAAGUUAAAUCGAAAUAAAACGAAUAAAAAUGGAUAAAACGACUAA